Molecule: ribosomal RNA, 424 nt
Filed under: Verrucomicrobiota bacterium
Lineage: Bacteria; Pseudomonadati; Verrucomicrobiota
Description: Verrucomicrobia bacterium partial 16S ribosomal RNA
Rfam family: Bacterial small subunit ribosomal RNA
Source: RNAcentral
UGAGGAAUAUUGGUCAAUGGGCGAGAGCCUGAACCAGCCAAGUAGCGUGCAGGAAGACGGCCCUAUGGGUUGUAAACUGCUUUUAUGUGGGGAUAAAGUGCGUGACGUGUCAUGCAUUGCAGGUACCACAUGAAUAAGGACCGGCUAAUUCCGUGCCAGCAGCCGCGGUAAUACGGAAGGUCCGGGCGUUAUCCGGAUUUAUUGGGUUUAAAGGGAGCGUAGGCUGUCUAUUAAGCGUGUUGUGAAAUAUACCGGCUCAACCGGUGGCUUGCAGCGCGAACUGGUCGACUUGAGUAUGCAGGAAGUAGGCGGAAUUCAUGGUGUAGCGAUGAAAUGCUUAGAUAUCAUGACGAACUCCGAUUGCGCAGGCAGCUUACUGUAGCAUAACUGACGCUGAUGCUCGAAAGUGCGGGUAUCAAACAGG